CAUGCAAGUCGAACGAGAUGCCUUCGGGCAUCUAGUGGCGAACGGGUGAGUAACACGUGAGGAACCUGCCCCGAAGACGGGGAUAACCGUGGGAAACUGCGGCUAAUACCCGAUGACCCCGAUGCGGCGCAUGCCGCGACGAGGAAAUGCUCCGGUGCUUCGGGAGAGCCUCGCGGCCUAUCAGCUAGUUGGUGAGGUAACGGCUCACCAAGGCUUCGACGGGUAGCUGGUCUGAGAGGACGAUCAGCCACACUGGGACUGAGACACGGCCCAGACUCCUGCGGGAGGCAGCAGUGGGGAAUCUUGCGCAAUGGGCGAAAGCCUGACGCAGCCACGCCGCGUGGGGGACGAAGGCCCUCGGGUUGUAAACCCCUUUCAGCAGGGACGAAACUGACGGUACCUGCAGAAGAAGCUCCGGCCAACUACGUGCCAGCAGCCGCGGUAACACGUAGGGAGCAAGCGUUGUCCGGAUUCAUUGGGCGUAAAGGGCUCGUAGGCGGUUUGGUAAGUCAGGUGUGAAAGCUCAGGGCUCAACUCUGAGAAGCCAUCUGAAACUGCCAUGACUAGAGUUCGGUAGAGGAGCGUGGAAUUUCCGGUGUAGCGGUGAAAUGCUCAGAUAUCGGGAGGAACACCAGCAGCGAAGGCGGCGCUCUGGGCCGAAACUGACG
Molecule: ribosomal RNA, 668 nt
Filed under: uncultured bacterium
Lineage: Bacteria
Description: bacterial SSU rRNA
Rfam family: Bacterial small subunit ribosomal RNA
Source: RNAcentral